AAGCAGUCACCCCCCUGGACAUGCGCCAUUUUUAGUAUUUCCAGGGGGGUGACUGCUUCUGUUUACGGUACUUGCUGAGUGACGAAUCAUGACGAAUAACGCUUACGCAAAAAACAAUGGAGAUGGACUUCUGUGUAGUAUUCUGUGCCAAGAGUAUACCUGUUCGCGGGUUAUGUAGUGGCAUGAAAAUAUGAGCUGCACAAAUAAAUCGCUUGAUAGCAAAUUGAGACGAACUUUAUACGUAUUUUUACUGUCGUUCCAAUUGAAGUGUUCCUCAAAUAUUGAUUCAAUACAUUACCUCGGGCUGACCAAUUCAUUUGAUCAAGUUCCGCGAAAUAUUCAUACACUUCCUAGUAUAUAAAUUGUAAACUUCCUGUUGAAUAGUUUGAAUGCACCAAUCACCUUUGUUGUUUGUGCAACUUAACCAAUCAUAAAUAGAAAGGAAGUGACCAGAAAUGAUCAAAUUCUUGGAAUUGGCGCUUUCACAGGAAGUGUAUGAAUAUCUCGAGGAACUUGAUGAAAUGAAUUGGUCAGCCUGAGGUAAUGUAUUGAAUCAAUAUUUGAGGAACACUUCAAUUGGAACGACAGUAAGCGUUUCAUUAAGUGAAUACACAUUUUUCUGAGCUGCCUAUGGUCAGAAAGUCAUCUCCAUUGUUUUUUUGCGUAAGCGCUAUUCGUCAUCGUCCGCCCCUCAGUAAUUGCCCUAAACAAAGCAGUCACCCCCCCCCCCCCUGACGUAAUCGCCUUUUUGGGUAUUUCCAGGGGUUGAAUACUUAGGGCACUUGCUGAGGGGCGGAUUGAUGACGAAUAGCGAUUGCGCAAAAAAACAAUAGAGAGGGCUUUCUGAAUAGGUUAGUAUUCUGUGCUAAUGCAGAGGUGCUAAUGUAGACAAAGUCCUCUGGGUUGCCCGCACCCCCUCCCCAAUUGUCUUAAAAUUUCAAAAAAAUUUCCCGUAAAUUUCAUAUUUUAAUAUUUUGGCAUUUUCCAUUUUUGCCUGUAAUUUGUAUUUUCGGUUGUUUCGACCGUUUCAUCUCUCUCAUACGCCAACUGUUUAUGAUAAGCCACGCCUAUAUCCGUCAAGGGCCACGCCCAUUUUAGUCGGUAAAAUCGGGAUGCUUCACCACCCCCCACCCCCUCAAAGGUCCAAGCGAUUUUGUAUCAGAUAUAAAAACUCCUUCACACUCAUGAUUUCUUUUGUGUUUUCUUCAUGAAUUAUUAAUGAGUUUCACAAUUUAAUUAAGCUUUCAGUGAAGUCUUAAAAGUGAUAGUCAUCAAGCCUGUAAAAGACGCCUCUCUUAAUAUGGCCACGUUGCUCUUCGCUGUUCGUACAAAUAGCCAGAAAGACGUUAAUAAUUGCAUUUUUAUUUAAUUCUAACUACAAAUACACUGAUUUUGCACAAUCUCCAAAACACUCUGAGUUAUAGUUGUGCAACGACACAUUGUGCAGUAAAAAUAUUUCCUUAAAUACUCUGGGUUAAUGCAUGAGUCAAUGUAAACCCUUUAUUUAUAAUUUAUUUAAGAUAUUCCUUAUCCUCAUGGUUUAUAUUUUAAAGAACAGAUGGUCAAAAUCUGCAUUACAAGUUUAGCGAUUUAAAUAAAAUCUACAUACACUGCGAAAUGACCGAUAAUUUUUACGAAGGACAUAUUUGUGUACCUCGUGAUCACAAUUCGUUGCAAGCGGCUAGUGAAAAACUGCAAGUUUUAGUUUGACAGUUCUGACAGUACAGUUAAAUGAGUUUCUAAUUUUAUUGUCCAAUCAGAUGCGUAGUUUUGAACUUUAAAUCAAACCUACGCACCUAAUUGGACAAUAAAAUUAGAAACCAUUUAUCUGCCAGAACUGUCAAACUGAAACUUGCAGUUUUUCACACGCCGCUUGCAACGAAUUGUGAUCACGAGGUACACAAAUAUGUCCAACGUACCGGUAAUUGACAAAACUGUCACUGACAAACUGCCUAAAGAAACGGUCGUUUUGCAGUUUACUGGGAACAAUAGUACCUGCAAAUGUUCAAAAGCACACAAAGCAAAGAUAACAAGACGCUCCAUAGAGCGUUAACUCGCUGGGGCUAUAUACAAAUACGCACAUUACCAUGUAUGAUACAUACAUGCAUGCAGUACACAGCUAUUUUAAUUAAAAUUUAAGGUUGUGAGGUUGUCCCAAGCUAAGCGGGAAACU
Non-coding RNA from Paramuricea clavata, 2173 nucleotides. NCBI's taxonomy places the organism in Eukaryota, Metazoa, Cnidaria, Anthozoa, Malacalcyonacea, Plexauridae. The record is from the annotation of a GenBank genome assembly.